AUGGAUAAUGGAGGCAUAAUCUUUUACACAUAAUUGAGCCAAUCAAAAGCUUUACUUAAACUUCACACGGAUCACCAUCCUACGGUCCAUUGCUCACCUAAUUUUCAAUCCAACGGUUUAAAAAUACCUCUAGAAACACAAAAUCCUUAAACCCACAAAUAUCAAAAUCUCUUCAAACAAGCACACCCCAAGAUCCCUCUGCCCCCACCCUUUUUGCUUCAAUUCAACCACCAGAAUCACCCACAUCUCCAUCAUCGGCGGUUGUCGGGUCGUUGUUCGAGCGAGAAUAGAAGGCGGCGGCGGUGGUGACGAGAUCAGAUGAAGACGUGAUGUUUUGAGGGCCGGCACACCCACCAACAGACGACCCCCUCUCGAUUAUAAUUGCAGUCACACACACACCAACCGCCCUCUCGUCUCUCUCAAUUCCGGCGGCUUACGCGGGCGAGGAUGGAGUCGCCGUGAAUGAUGAUGAUGGUGGUGACGAGAUCAGAUGAAGACGUGAUGUUUUGAGGGCCGGCGACCGGAGACGCCGCUCACGGCGGCGGUCUUUAUAUCCGUGAUGAAAAAUUUGAUGGAAAUGGAAGAAAUGGCAACACAGUAAAUAUGUUCAAAAUAAAGUUUUUUUUACAAUGCCUACAAUAAUUGUCAAAGCCAUACGAUGAUCUGUUUGAUGAAAAAAUAUGAUGGAAAUUAAGAAAUGGCAAUAUUGUAAAUAUGUCUAAAUCAAAGGCUUUUUUUUCUACUGUAGACAAGAGUCUACCAUAAUUCUUAUUAUAUAUGAUUAAUGUUAUUGAAUUUUUAUAGUUUUUAGUUUUAUUUACUUUUGUAUCCGAUCUCUCGGAUGUUUUAUAAAUAGAAUAAAACUAUAAAAAAACAUUA
RNAcentral lists this long non-coding RNA (879 nucleotides) under Helianthus annuus (common sunflower). RNAcentral's name for it is "hypothetical non coding rna". The record is from RNAcentral. Lineage: Eukaryota; Viridiplantae; Streptophyta; Magnoliopsida; Asterales; Asteraceae.